Molecule: long non-coding RNA, 1228 nt
Organism: Triticum aestivum (bread wheat)
Lineage: Eukaryota; Viridiplantae; Streptophyta; Magnoliopsida; Poales; Poaceae
Exons: 3
Source: RefSeq, a predicted model, not a curated record
CAAUGGCUGUUGGGCCACGGCCCGCUCAACACGACUGCGAGCGCUGUAGCUCCCAUCGGCGGUCGGCGCUCCCGUCCCGUCGUCCUCCCCGCCGCCGUCCUUCCUCCGUCUCUCCAAGCUCGUUUUUGCUUCUUUGUCUGCACUCCCCAACCUCUGGUGCGCCGGAGUGAACUGGGACCAGCUGGAGAUAGGGUCGAGGGGGGGGCGAUGGUGGCCGGCGAGCACCGGCGCCGGCAACCGGAGUGAUGGAGGUGGAGGAGGAGGAACAGGCGCUGUGGUGGACAGCGCGGGCGCGACGGAGCGGGCUGGGGCAGGCGCCGCCGGUCGCUCGGGCUCGGCUCACAUACUUGCACGUGAUUGCUGUAACGUUGUGAAUAAACCAAAGGCAUAUGUCGUCUUCAGAACUUUGUUAUUGGUGAACAUAUUCUUACACCAUCUUCAGGCAUCGAGUCUCCAAUUAAGGAUUGUGCUAUAAGUGUGAAGUGAUAAUUUUACUGUUUUGAGCACUGAAGCUGGUUGGAUCGAAAAAUUGAGCCUUCAAUCUGGUAUUAGUCGUGCCAGGGGAAGUCGUCAGAUUAGCUUGUGAUGCUACAAAUGAUUCUCUAACUAUUAAGGUUUGAUGCUGCUGUUGCACUUUAGUUCAAUGACAGUUUAUUUCUCACAAGACUACAAUAUGUUCCAGCGCCUGUUAAUUAAGUGCAUCUACUUUAUGGAAUGCUAAUGUACAUUUCAUUUCGUCUUCCAUGCUCUUAUCACUGGUUAAAUGUCCAGAGAAGGAAGGAGAUACAGGUGCCAUUGGAUUUGGAUCUAAUGGUCUAGAAGCACGGACUGCGCUGCAGACAAACUCUUAUAAAAUGCACACGCAAUUGAAAGGGCCGUUGGCCGUCUCACUGAAGCACACUUCCAAGCCCUGGCCGUGGCCACACAUAUUCUGAAAGCCCUUCCCAAAUUUUGACAACUCAAUUUCGAUCUGUCUACAUAUCACCAGGUAAUAGAGGAUGUCCCAAACAAAUGCAAGAACAUGUCCAUCAGAAACAAAUGAGUAAAUAUUCAGAUUCACAAAGAAUAAACAAUCACAAAACUUUUAUUGAAGAAACCACGAAACUAUGAAAUUUAUAUUACAGAGUUGAUAGCUCUGAAGCUGAGCUGAGCCUCCUACUAUAAACUCUUUAUUCAGAUGGUACUAAUCAUUCUACCAGACCUAUCAAUCUUGUUCAUGAGGCAACAA